GUGCUCGCUGCGGCAGCACAUUAUGCAAAUGGGAAUGAUACAGAGAAGAUCAGCAUGGCCCCCGUGCAUGGAUAACACAAAUUCGUGAGUUUUCUAUGUAUAUU
This 104-nucleotide small nuclear RNA is filed under the name Catagonus wagneri (Chacoan peccary). The record is from RNAcentral. Lineage: Eukaryota; Metazoa; Chordata; Mammalia; Artiodactyla; Tayassuidae.